AUGCGGGUGAUAGCAUAUGGCGUUCCGGCUGACUAUGCCGAUGAGUAUCUUCGCAUUGGUGAAGAUAGCACAAUUGAGUCCGUGCGUAGAUUUGCGAAAGUGAUCGUCCGUGUCUUUGGUCCCGAGUAUCUUCGGGCACCAAAUGAAGAUGACACAAAGAAAUUGAUGGCAGCUAAUGAGAGGAGAGGUUGGCCUGAGAUGCUAGGUAGCAUUGAUUGUAUGCAUUGGAAUUGGAAAAAUUGCCCCAAGGCUUGGCAAGGAAUGUACUGUGGCAAGUGUCGUGAUGCAACAAUUGUGCUAGAGGCCGUAGCAUCCGAGGAUUUAUGGAUUUGGCAUUGCUUUUUUGGUAUGCCCGGUACACUCAAUGAUAUCAAUCUGUUGCAACGCUCUCAUUUGUUUGCUAGGCUUGCUAGUGGUGAUGCUUCUGCUUGCAACUACACUGUCAAUGGGCAUGAAUACACAAAGAGGUACUAUCUUGCAUAUGGUAUAUAUCCUCCUUGGUGCACAUUUGUCAAGAGCAUCAAAGAACCCAAAACAAAAAACAAUGCGAAUUUGCAAGGGUGCAAGAGGCAGCCAAAAGACAUUGAAAGAUCAUUCGGUGUUUUGCAAUCUAGGUUUGCCGUUGUCCGAGGUCCUGCUCGUUUUUGGAAUAAGAAAACCCUGAAGAACAUCAUGACUUGCUGUGUUAUCCUGCAUAAUAUGAUUCUUGAAGAUGAGAGAGGAAUGGACUUAGAAUUAUUUUACGAUAAUGUGGGUAGCCGUGUCAAACCAGCUAGAGACCCAAACCGCAUUAGAGCUUUUCUUCAGACAUACAAGGAGAUUGAAAAUGCGGACGCAUACUUUCAACUUCAGGAAGAUCUCAUUGAGCACCAU
This 873-nucleotide ribosomal RNA is filed under the name Triticum aestivum (bread wheat). RNAcentral's name for it is "partial small subunit ribosomal RNA". Lineage: Eukaryota; Viridiplantae; Streptophyta; Magnoliopsida; Poales; Poaceae. The record is from RNAcentral.